UACGGAGGGUGCAAGCGUUGUUCGGAAUCACUGGGCGUAAAGCGCGUGUAGGCGGCCACUUAAGUCUGAUGUGAAAGCCCUGGGCUCAACUCAGGAAGUGCAUUGGAUACUGGGUGGCUGGAGUACCGGAGAGGAGGGUGGAAUUCCUGGUGUAGCGGUGAAAUGCGUAGAUAUCAGGAGGAACACCGGUGGCGAAGGCGUCCCUCUGGCCGGAUACUGACGCUGAGGCACGAAAGCGUGGGGAGCAAACAGG
RNAcentral lists this ribosomal RNA (253 nucleotides) under uncultured bacterium. RNAcentral describes it as "partial 16S ribosomal RNA". It matches the Rfam family "Bacterial small subunit ribosomal RNA", at positions 524 to 776 of the family's 1533-position model. The record is from RNAcentral.